This 429-nucleotide ribosomal RNA is filed under the name Triticum aestivum (bread wheat). RNAcentral's name for it is "partial small subunit ribosomal RNA". Lineage: Eukaryota; Viridiplantae; Streptophyta; Magnoliopsida; Poales; Poaceae. The record is from RNAcentral.
AUGUCGUCUUUGGUCAUGGCUAUAGCUUAUGAGAAGAAUGGGAUUUAUGCUUUGGCAGACUGCCCCGUGGUUAGCAAGUCAUUAUUGCCGCCUCCGCUUCCCAAGUUGCCUCGGCUUGCUGUUGGUGUGUGCUGCUUCUGCAGCUCCUGCCGGCCGCCUCUUAGGUUGGGUUUUGCAGCCACUACUGAAGUUUCCAUUGCCAAGGCAAGGCGUUGUCGUCUUACUUGCAAGGCACACAUUGCACUGCGGGCAACAUUUUGCUAUGCAUGGCCACUCAUGUCAAAGCUGGGUUCCAGUUUGACGACCUCUCUACCAAGUAUCCAUGUUCUUCUUCCCUGUACUUUCUUCAUCUGCUGUUAUACUCUCUUGCAAGUACGGCUUAUCCAGUUUGAUGUCAUGUUGCUUCGGCAGUUGUGUAUUAACCCCUAG